Molecule: ribosomal RNA, 766 nt
Filed under: uncultured Bacteroidota bacterium
Lineage: Bacteria; Pseudomonadati; Bacteroidota
Description: bacterial SSU rRNA
Rfam family: Bacterial small subunit ribosomal RNA
Source: RNAcentral
AGAGUUUGAUCAUGGCUCAGGAUGAACGCUAGCGGCAGGCUUAAUACAUGCAAGUCGAGGGGCAGCAGGGGUGUAGCAAUACACUCGCUGGCGACCGGCAAACGGGUGCGGAACACGUACGCAACCUACCCAGAACUGGGGGAUAGCCCGGGGAAACCCGGAUUAACACCUCAUAAGAUAGUGGAGUGGCAUCACUCAGCUAUUAAAACUCCGGUGGUUUUGGAUGGGCGUGCGGCUGAUUAGGUAGUUGGCGGGGUAACGGCCCACCAAGCCUGCGAUCAGUAACUGGUGUGAGAGCACGACCAGUCACACGGGCACUGAGACACGGGCCCGACUCCUACGGGAGGCAGCAGUAAGGAAUAUUGGUCAAUGGACGCAAGUCUGAACCAGCCAUGCCGCGUGAAGGAUGAAGGUCCUCUGGAUUGUAAACUUCUUUUAUAGGGGACGAAACCCGGAUAUUCUUAUCCGAUUGACGGUACCCUGGGAAUAAGCACCGGCUAACUCCGUGCCAGCAGCCGCGGUAAUACGGAGGGUGCAAGCGUUAUCCGGAUUCACUGGGUUUAAAGGGUGCGUAGGAGGGCAGGUAAGUCAGUGGUGAAAUCUUCGAGCUUAACUCGGAAACUGCCGUUGAUACUAUCUGUCUUGAAUAUUGUGGAGGUGAGCGGAAUAUGUCAUGUAGCGGUGAAAUGCUUAGAUAUGACAUAGAACACCAAUUGCGAAGGCAGCUCGCUACACAUAUAUUGACUCUGAGGCACGAAAGCGUGGG